UCCGGUUUGUCACCGGCGGUCUCCUUAGAGUGCCCAACUGAAUGCUGGCAACUAAGGACAAGGGUUGCGCUCGUUGCGGGACUUAACCCAACAUCUCACGACACGAGCUGACGACAGCCAUGCAGCACCUGUGCAGGAUCUCCGAAGAGGGGCUCUCGUUUCUGAGAGCUUGCUCCUGCAUGUCAAGCCUAGGUAAGGUUCUUCGCGUUGCGUCGAAUUGAACCACAUGCUCCACCGCUUGUGCGGGCCCCCGUCAGUUCCUUUGAGUUUCAGCCUUGCGACCGUACUCCCCAGGCGGUGUGCUUAACGCGUUAGCUGCGACACCGGGAAACUAGGUCCCCCAACGUCUAGCACACAUCGUUUACAGCGUGGACUAC
This 377-nucleotide unclassified non-coding RNA is filed under the name uncultured bacterium. RNAcentral's name for it is "contains 16S-23S intergenic spacer region". The record is from RNAcentral.